UACAGUAGAUUGAAUAGGGAGAGGGAUUGGAAACGGAAGUAGCGUCACAUGACAUUUUACAUUGAAUUUGCAGCAUGGCACCGAUAGCCUCGAUCCCAGGCCGAGUUUUCGCUUUUAUAACGAUUAGGCGAACAACUGGGCCUGGUACUAGUUGUCUGCGCAUGCGUCAGUCGUUCGUCAGAUUCUGGAUAUUCUCGUUCACUUUUGUGACAUUUAUAUUCGUGUACUAUCGUGUACUAGAAAUCAGUUCCCGUUUUAUCAUUAUUGGAAUCGAUUGGAAUCGAUUGGAAUGGCUCUUAGCUGAAGCUUCUCUCUUCUCUGAAGCUUAUUCUGAAGACUGAACAACAAGGGAAGAGGUAUAAAGCUUUGUCAAGCUUGUUAAGGUCAGAUAUUUUUGUGUGGGCCCUAUGGCCGGCUAUGCUAUCAAGUCUUGUUCAUGUUUGGCAAGAAUGUAGGUAGACUAUAGUUUCAUCAUUAAUAUGGUGGAUCAAGUGAAGAGUGUGAGCUAGAGAACUUGGUGCUGCCAUCAUCAGCUCGUCGACAAUGACACUAUAACCGAGAAAUUUCUACACGUAUUUAAAAUGUCUACUUCUCUGUACAGGAGCAAUGGCUAAUAUCCAGCUGUCCCAACAGUGCUCCUCUUGGCUAUACUAACGGACGAGACUGGACAGUUUGGGACACAGGACUGGAGUAUGACCUGCUCAUUCGAGCGUUGCUGGGUAGCUCAGAGACAUCAAGAGAAUCUACGUUUUCUGAAGCAAUGAGUUACGAGUUGGGGCCUAGAAUCAGAGAAGUCCAGCAGCCUGCUAAAUCUUUUUGAAACGUAAUUUGAAGGCAUUCAAUCAUCCUGAAGUUGCCCUGGGUCACUGUAAUUGUGCUGCAGCACAACUGGCAACUCCCCAGGCCUUUGUGAAGCAGCUCCCUAUGUGCAUCUUUUGUGUACUCACUCUGUGCAUUUUCUGUGUACAAAUUUCGAUUAUUGAUUUAUUAAA
Halichondria panicea is the source of this 992-nucleotide long non-coding RNA. RefSeq lists it as uncharacterized. The transcript has 2 exons. NCBI's taxonomy places the organism in Eukaryota, Metazoa, Porifera, Demospongiae, Suberitida, Halichondriidae. The record is from RefSeq and is a predicted model, not a curated record.